AAAAUUAGAGUGUUCAAAGCAGGCAGAUCCAAUUUUCUGCCACCGAAUACAUUAGCAUGGGAUAAUGGAAUAGGACCCUGUCCUCCUAUUUUCAGUUGGUUUUGGCAGCGCGAGGACUAGGGUAAUGAUUAAUAGGGAUAGUUGGGGGCAUUAAUAUUUAAUUGUCAGAGGUGAAAUUCUUGGAUUUAUGAAAGAUUAACUUCUGCGAAAGCAUCUGCCAAGGAUGUUUUCAUUAAUCAAGAACGAAAGUUAGGGGAUCGAAGACGAUCAGAUACCGUCGUAGUCUUAACCAUAAACGAUGCCGACCAGCGAUUAGGAGACGUUGAAUACAAAACACCACCAUCGGCGCGGUCGUCCUUGGCGUGUCUCGGCUUCACGGCUGGGGCGCGCGAGGGCGGUUUAGCCCGGUGGCACCGGUGAA
This 421-nucleotide ribosomal RNA is filed under the name Acanthamoeba sp. Its description in RNAcentral is "SSU rRNA". The stretch from base 1 to 375 matches the Rfam family "Eukaryotic small subunit ribosomal RNA", at positions 762 to 1115 of the family's 1831-position model. RNAcentral also lists the same sequence under 2 other names. The record is from RNAcentral. Lineage: Eukaryota; Discosea; Longamoebia; Acanthamoebidae.